UACAUAAAAGAGGGUCAAUGUCUAUACAUGGAUCCAUUUGGGGCAACAACGGAACAACUCCUUCACUGUAGGGAUGUAACAAGAGCACUAGUACGAAGGCACAAUGCUGCCAUUGGGAGGUGGACCUGCUCCACAGUCCCUCACCCCAAACAGCAGGACACAACGUCAUGUGGCAUCUUUGUGUGCAGGCUCCUCCAAAAUGACGCCCCGGAGGAAGAAGAAAGAGGAGCCAGAGUGGGUCAAGAUUCUGAGGCAGGUGACUGAGAGGGAUGAAGAGAGGGAGAGGAUCUGUACGGAGAGGGAGCACAGGAGGGAGAGGGAAGCACUGGAGAGAGAGGAGAGGAAGGAGAAGGAGCAGCU
This is a long non-coding RNA of Notolabrus celidotus (New Zealand spotty), 360 nucleotides long. RefSeq lists it as uncharacterized. The transcript has 3 exons. NCBI's taxonomy places the organism in Eukaryota, Metazoa, Chordata, Actinopteri, Labriformes, Labridae. The record is from RefSeq and is a predicted model, not a curated record.